AAUCCCAUUAUAGUACCUUCCACUCGCAUUACCAUGAAUGGACGGCUAUGCUAAUGGGAUAGAAAAACACUGUCAUGGUCUGAGGGUGUGGUUAACUCACCGUGUACCCCGCUAAAUAAAAUGACAGAAUACAUGUGC
Molecule: small nucleolar RNA, 138 nt
Organism: Scatophagus argus
Lineage: Eukaryota; Metazoa; Chordata; Actinopteri; Scatophagidae
Product: small nucleolar RNA SNORA29
Exons: 1
Source: RefSeq, a predicted model, not a curated record